AUGCAUGGGGGCCACAGCCCUCAAUGCCUCCAGGUCUCCAGCAAUCUAACCCUCCUCCACUCCGCCUCUCAGUCUGGAAAACAGCUUUGCAAGUUAACCUCCAGGGGCAUUCACUGGGUUUCCAGUGGGGUCCCCAGCCCCACAGGCUGCCAAAAUAGGCUCUUUACACUCCAUAGAUGGGAGAGAAAAAUCUGCUUGUUCGGUUGCAACUGUCAAGCAAAGGACGUGCUGAGCUCAGAUAGAAAUAGCAGCAGGGUCAGGGCAGGGCAAGGCCCUAGCAUUUCAUUAGCUCAGCCCACUAAGGGUGAUUAAAUGCACACAGUGGCCCAUGAAUGGGGCCAUGGAGGGCAGCCACACAGUGCAGCACAGAAAAAUCAUUCUUUGGCCGCUGUCAGCUGGCUGAAUGGGACUUAAUUAUCGGGAUAAUGAGAACUGAUUUUCAUUGUUUUAAUUUUGGGCAAGGGGUGAGAAAGGAGGGACUUUUUUCCCUCAUCUGGGUGAAAGGAUGCUAAGUAUGGCCUCCAACUGGGCCCCACAUCUUCUAGGCUGCUGUGAGCUAAGCCUCCUGCAUUUGCUGUUUUUAUGGAUGCAAUAAGGAAGGGUGUUAGGCUUGUCUUCUGUGUUGGUACUUCCUGUAGGCCCUGUAAGCCUGGCAGGAUGUGUCCUUGUAAGAGCAUGUCUGUGCUGGCAUCUGAUCCCAGCAGCUGAGCCAAGGUAACAUGGACAGAAUCCACUGGACAGAUCUGUCUGUUCUCAGCUCUUUCCAAGUGCUUUCGAGUCAUCAGUGAAUCCUGUCUUGUUCCUCUUUUUGUUUUGUUUUUAAUGCAAUAUCUAGAGAAUUCCAACUAUUUGCUGAGGUCAAACAGAAAAAUUCUGGUUUCUUCUGUUCAUUUUGAGGCUCAAAGUCCAAGGGGUCCACUGCAGACCAGUGCGGGGGUCAUCAGAACUCUUUAAAACCCAGAAAUCCUUGACGAAUGAGAUAAGCUCUGACCCUAUGAGCUGUGAACAUCACAAAUCCAUCUCACUCUUAUUCAGUUUAAUUCACCUGCUACCUUCCCAAGAGCUUGUUCUUCAUAGAGAAAUGAGACGGUUAUU
Molecule: long non-coding RNA, 1095 nt
Filed under: Capra hircus (goat)
Lineage: Eukaryota; Metazoa; Chordata; Mammalia; Artiodactyla; Bovidae
Description: lncRNA (ENSCHIG00010018975.1)
Source: RNAcentral